UUCAUCUACGUGGGUCUGAUUUUUUUAGGGAAGGUCUGAUUCUUUUUAUCAUCAGUCUUGUCACGAGGAUUUCACAAAGAAAUUUUUCAUCGUGAUCAUUUGAUGAUUUUGAAAGUCUUGUAAAAGUAUUUGUAUAUAAUUGAAUAUAUUAAAAUCCCGUAAUCAUACGUGUCAUGUUGUGGUCUGCGAACAUUAAAUUUUACAGAUGUAAAAUUAAAAACAGAUAUUUUUAUUAUUGAUUACGUUACAUGCGUUGCACGUGCACGUUUACUAGUGAGAUGAAAAGAUAAUAGUCUAUUUUUGCAGUCCUUUAGAAAGACUCUUUUUGGUUCGUAUAAAAGAGGAUUUAGUGAGUUAAUUGUGCCCAAAUAAGAUGAAAAAUAAUAGGACAACAAUAUUUUAAUUUCAGAAUUAGAAUAGUUAUUUGGAUCACGGCGCGGCCUAUAUAGAAGGCACGGAGGUGUUUUCCAACCUGUAAAGAAAAAAGAAAAGGAAAAAGCCCACCCCACAACCGCCGACAGCCGACCGCUCCUCCCCCACCUUCCCGGAUCCCCAACCUCCCUGGAUCCCAUCGCCGGUGACCGCCUGACCUCCGCCGCCACACGCCUGGCUUCUCCUCCUUCCGUCUCCUUGCCCGUGUCCAGCGUGCACCGCCGGCCCUCCCAUGGCGCUGUCGCCGCGGCCACCCACUUCUCCUACCUCCCCACGGCGAGGCGUGCCUCCACCGCCGCCGCGACCCCAGCCGUGCAUCUCCGGCGUGGCGCCUCCCCACCACCGCCGCUACCCCAUCCCGCACCUACCCCCUCCUCCGUCGCCGCCUGCCGGGCGGACCUCGAUUUCCCUACAGGAGGAAGGGGUUCUCGCCGGCUACGUGGGAGAAGGCCAGGGAGACGCGCGGGUCGUGCGGGCGCCGGUGUUGCGUAGCAGUAGGGCGCCGCCAUCGAAUUUUUCAAGGAGAUGCGGCCCCUUCCCCGUCCAACUGCGACCAUGGCGCUGUCCAACCUCGUCUGCGCGCGCAGUCCAUCCUUGUUCACUCUUCGCCAGCAGAGGUGAGACCCCCCUGCCCCCUUCUCCACCUCAUGUGCUCCUUCCGGACUGCCGACGCGGCACUGAUAGCAAAUGUCACGGCGUACGUCCAGUUCACUCAGGGGGGCUCUCUCUCUGCUUCUCCGUUGAGCUUAAUGGACCACUGACCCAAACCCAGCGCGCUUCUGGAUGUCGCCUCGGGGAAGAGCAAGUUCCAAAUGUGAAAUUUGGUAAUUCAAGUGGCCGGAAUUCGUGCUUGUGUGCGGCGGGCUGGCAGUUGAAUCUGCUCCAGCAAUUCAGUUCUUUUCAAUUUUUCCAUGUGCAGCAGCACAUGAAUAUGAGUGUAUGGAAAACGUGUAUGUAGACAUUGAGAAAGUUCAGUAUUGUUUCUUCUAGCUCGCUCAUGCAGCUAUGCAGAUCAUUCCUUUUCAGGCCAUCCCUGUCCAGCCCUCCUGUGGUAGGAAGGUCGAGCCCAUCGCAAGCUGCAGUCUACGGUAGUCACCCGGUCCUGCCUCCUUCAUCCUUCCCCACCUCGCCCUCUGCCUCGACCAGCCGCUUCCCUUUCAGUCGUUGAAGCUACAGAUGGAGCCCGCAAUGCAGCAGCGUCACCCCAACGGCCAUGGGACGGUCGACGAUGGCUGGGAGUGGUGUGCGUCUCUCCGACGUGCUCGGCGUGCUGCCGAGGGGGCUGCAGUUUGAAGUGGCUGGGUAAUGAAGUUCAGAGAAUGCUUUUUUAGUACAUUCAGAGAAGUUGCUUUCUUGCUUUUUGUGAUAUUUUGGCUACGCAGAUACUUAGUGCAGAGAGGUUGUGACCUUUGGCUCCUCUCAUCCUGAACACUUGCACCACAACCUCAUCUCAUGGGUAAAAUGACUAUUAGUAAAUUGGCACUAAAAAAUGAAUACAGAAUGAGUAGAAAGACAUGAUGACCUCAUCUCACGGGUUCCAUCUCAGUAUAGCUCAAGCUUUUUAGAAACUACAUUUGACACAAAGCUUUAAAUUCAUAUAGUUGUGAUAGCUUCUGAAGUAAUUUUAUCACUUUUGCAGCUUUGCCAAUUUAUUUGUAAAUGCUUUGUUUUCCACUAAUUUAUUUCGAAAUGCUUUUUUUCCAUAACAAUUAUUUUGGCAUUAGCAAAACAGAAGUUUCGUCUGGUGGCGAGAGACCAUGCAGGCUGUUUCGUUACUGGAAAAAUGCCUGAACCAUGAACGCGUAUUACGUCCGUGGUGUCGUGCUUCACGUCGGCGACCAUCGGGGCUCCUUGGUCCAUGAACAGGUUUGCUCUGUGGCACGCACAAGCCGAGGAAGCUGCAGUUGUCGCUGGAUAAAGUUCAACUUCGUGCCUGGAUAAAGUUCAGUUGUCGCUGAAGCUUCUGUUGUUCUCCAUCACGCGCCUGUAGAGUGUCCAUGCAGGUCGAGUAAAAUUAUCAUGGAAGUUCAAAUAAAAAGGCAGCUACAGCACAACCGUCGGUGGCUAUAAUGCGUGGUGAAACCUGAAAUCUGAAACUGAGUGUUGCUGGAUAUAGUAGGCAGCAGAUUUUCUGAGGUUUGUUGGUGAACGCAACAACAGUAGUUUGUGCCAUUGGGGCCGUGCGGCAAGCAGAAAUCUACACCUGGAUGUACUCUCUCUGUCUCUCCUGAAAUUCUAGGGCUAAUCUACUUGUAAUUCUAUCUCAUCUAUUUGUAUUUUCUUUCUCCCAUACCUGAACAUAGUGGCAGACUAGCAGUGUUGUAUGGUCAGUCUAUGUGAGAGAGUUUGUGUGAACGUGGUGUUUACUUUUCUUCAGGAAGCCAUUUUUUAAUAAUGAACUAUAUCCCGCCCGCCCACUUAUAUUCUUCAGUAAAAGAGAUGAAGUUCAUUUA
Aegilops tauschii subsp. strangulata is the source of this 2885-nucleotide non-coding RNA. The record is from RefSeq and is a predicted model, not a curated record. NCBI's taxonomy places the organism in Eukaryota, Viridiplantae, Streptophyta, Magnoliopsida, Poales, Poaceae.